This 48-nucleotide non-coding RNA is filed under the name Schistosoma mattheei. The record is from RNAcentral. Lineage: Eukaryota; Metazoa; Platyhelminthes; Trematoda; Strigeidida; Schistosomatidae.
AUAUAGCUGACCAGUCCCAAACAGGUCGAAACGUGCGUCUUACUGGAU